RNAcentral lists this ribosomal RNA (493 nucleotides) under uncultured bacterium. RNAcentral's name for it is "partial 16S ribosomal RNA". It matches the Rfam family "Bacterial small subunit ribosomal RNA", at positions 29 to 507 of the family's 1533-position model. The record is from RNAcentral.
ACGCACGCUGGCGGCGCGCUUAACACAUGCCAGUCGAACGGAAAGGCCUGCUUUCCCUUGUGGAUUGCGGGUACUCGAGUGGCGAACGGGUGAGUAACACGUGAGUGAUCUGCCCCCAACUUGGGUAUAAGCCUGGGAAACUGGGUCUAAUUCCCGAUAGGACUGCAGGGUGGUGCCUGUGGUGGAAAACGAUUUUCUAGUGGUUGGGGAUGAGCUCGCGGCCUAUCAGCUUGUUGGUGGGGUAAUGGCCUACCAAGGCGGCGACGGGUAGCCGGCCUGAGAGGGUGGACGGCCACAUUGGGACUGAGAUACGGCCCAGACUCCUACGGGAGGCAGCAGUGGGGAAUAUUGCACAAUGGGCGGAAGCCUGAUGCAGCGACGCCGCGUGGGGGAUGACGGCCUUCGGGUUGUAAACUCCUUUCGACCGCGAGGAAGCCACCUGGUUGGAAGGGUGGUGACGGUAGUGGUAGAAGAAGCACCGGCUAACUACGUG